RNAcentral lists this ribosomal RNA (532 nucleotides) under uncultured bacterium. Its description in RNAcentral is "bacterial SSU rRNA". It matches the Rfam family "Bacterial small subunit ribosomal RNA", at positions 777 to 1304 of the family's 1533-position model. The record is from RNAcentral.
AAUAGAUACCCUGGUAGUCCACGCCGUAAACGAUGAGUGCUAAGUGUUAGAGGGUUUCCGCCCUUUAGUGCUGCAGCUAACGCAUUAAGCACUCCGCCUGGGGGAGUACGGUCGCAAGACUGAAACUCAAAGGAAUUGACGGGGGCCCGCACAAGCGGUGGAGCAUGUGGUUUAAUUCGAAGCAACGCGAAGAACCUUACCAGGUCUUGACAUCCCACUGACCGGUAUAGAGAUAUACCUUUCCCUUCGGGGGACAGUGGUGACAGGUGGUGCAUGGUUGUCGUCAGCUCGUGUCGUGAGAUGUUGGGUUAAGUCCCGCAACGAGCGCAACCCUUGAUCUUAGUUGCCAGCACUUAGUUGGGCACUCUAAGGUGACUGCCGGUGACAAACCGGAGGAAGGUGGGGAUGACGUCAAAUCAUCAUGCCCCUUAUGACCUGGGCUACACACGUGCUACAAUGGAUGGUACAAAGGGCUGCAAGACUGCGAAGUCAAGCCAAUCCCAUAAAACCGAUUCUCAGUUCGGAUUGCAGG